RNAcentral lists this ribosomal RNA (546 nucleotides) under uncultured bacterium. RNAcentral's name for it is "partial 16S ribosomal RNA". It matches the Rfam family "Bacterial small subunit ribosomal RNA", at positions 355 to 893 of the family's 1533-position model. The record is from RNAcentral.
UGGGGAAUUUUGGACAAUGGGCGAAAGCCUGAUCCAGCAAUGCCGCGUGUGUGAAGAAGGCCUUCGGGUUGUAAAGCACUUUUGUCCGGAAAGAAAUCCUUGGCUCUAAUACAGUCGGGGGAUGACGGUACCGGAAGAAUAAGCACCGGCUAACUACGUGCCAGCAGCCGCGGUAAUACGUAGGGUGCAAGCGUUAAUCGGAAUUACUGGGCGUAAAGCGUGCGCAGGCGGUUUGCUAAGACCGAUGUGAAAUCCCCGGGCUCAACCUGGGAACUGCAUUGGUGACUGGCAGGCUAGAGUAUGGCAGGAGGGGGGUAGAAUUCCACGUGUAGCAGUGAAAUGCGUAGAGAUGUGGAGGAAUACCGAUGGCGAAGGCAGCCCCCUGGGCCAAUACUGACGCUCAUGCACGAAAGCGUGGGGAGCAAACAGGAUUAGAUACCCUGGUAGUCCACGCCCUAAACGAUGUCAACUAGUUGUUGGGGAUUCAUUUCCUUAGUAACGUAGCUAACGCGUGAAGUUGACCGCCUGGGGAGUACGGUCGCAAGA